AUUUGCUCUUUUGGGCAGUUUCAUAUCCAAGUCCAGCCCCCUUGCAAAACACCCUUCAAUGUCUACGAGAGAUGAAAACCUGCCAAGCAGACAGCACUGGGAGCAGGAUCAUUUCAGGAGGGCAAGGGCUGUCCAAGGGGUUCAAAUUGCCACGUUCCUCUAAGGAAACAAGACAAUCAACAUUUACAAAACCCUCUUAAGAGGAGAUGAGAAACCAUGAUGAUGAGGCCUGAGCAAACCAUGGGCAGGACAACUGGACUUCGCCUUUUGCAGGCUGCAGAGACCUGGGGAUACCUUCAGACUGGGGUUCUGCAAACAGCUCUCCAGGGAUAGCAAAUUAUAAAAACCCAACCAAGCAGCCAGCCAAGAAUCCUCAGAUGAAGCUGUUGCAACCACCAGCAGAUGUUUAGAAGUGGAACCAGCUUCAGUGGGUGCCAGACACCCACAUUCAGCAGGAUGGGCAUCCCUCUGCACAUCGUGUGAGCUUGACUGAGAUGAGAUUCAAAUGAGUACUUCAUUUCUUACAUUUGGCAGCUCUAUGCAAAUUAAAAAUUGAGCCUCAAUAAAUACACCCUUAAGGAUUGCC
This is a long non-coding RNA of Apus apus (common swift), 586 nucleotides long. RefSeq lists it as uncharacterized. Lineage: Eukaryota; Metazoa; Chordata; Aves; Apodiformes; Apodidae. The record is from RefSeq and is a predicted model, not a curated record. The transcript has 3 exons.